Salmo salar (Atlantic salmon) is the source of this 1036-nucleotide non-coding RNA. The record is from RefSeq and is a predicted model, not a curated record. NCBI's taxonomy places the organism in Eukaryota, Metazoa, Chordata, Actinopteri, Salmoniformes, Salmonidae.
UUUUAAUUAAUUGGUACACAAAACGUUUGCUUUUUAGGUAGAAUUACUGUCAUGUUAUUGAUGCCAAAUUGGAAACCUUAUUUGCACCUUCUCUAUUCCAGAACCAGUGGGUGUGCCUGAGUCUUGCCACCUCUCAACUAGAUGCAGACCCAAAGACAUUCAAACAGCAUUUUGAGAGCAAGCGUUCCAAGUCGCCAAUGGUCCCAAUACUGGUUGAUGUGCAGGCCUAAAUGACCACAAACAAUUGACCUACAGCUGGGACACACGAUGACCACAAUUUGAAUGCUGCAACUGAAACAAUGCCGUUGAGGGACACACGCUGAGAGCCCGAAUAUGACUGGACAUGGACCAGAUAUUUGUGACAACGACCUAAGAGGUGCAGGAGCACAGCAGCACCCUAAUUUAUGUUUAUUCCAUGGCCAAACAUCUCUCCAGCUACCCCAUAUUACACACCAUGCCUUUUAUGCCCUCCUCAACUUCGGACAUUUUAGAACUCUCAAUCUUAUCUCUAUAAACCCACCCUACCUUCACCCAUUUUCCCUAUGCUGCUUCCUUCACUUGUUCUUCUCCUGAUUUGAUAACAUCUAGACUCAGUAACAUGUUUAAAGUGUUGUGGUGUACUUUUUUUCCCCACCUGUGUAAUGCUGUCCUGCUAAUUCUGGGGUUCAGACUAGGGUUGCAAAGGGUGGGAAACCUUCCAGGAAACUUCCAGAAUUUUUCCAUGGGAAUCCUUCUUAAAUUCUUCAAAAAAAAUUAGCUUGUAACAGUUAACUUCUUUUGUGGGAUACACAAGGCAAUUCUAGGUCUUGUGGCAUAUUUUGGUUAAACUAUCCCCAAUUCAAUGGAAUUGCAACCCUCUGCAUGCACAUUGCAUUCUUCCAUAGCAUGUACAGCUGAUCCUCAAGAUCUUGCACACUAAUGAGAUGCUAUUGAGCCCACACUACUACACUGUCUGAGCAAAGGACUACAUGCUUUCUGGUAAGUUUUCAUUACAAUACUGGGUGGGGUGAAUAUAUAUUUUACAUGACAUACAUUA